RNAcentral lists this unclassified non-coding RNA (549 nucleotides) under Hevea brasiliensis (rubber tree). The record is from RNAcentral. Lineage: Eukaryota; Viridiplantae; Streptophyta; Magnoliopsida; Malpighiales; Euphorbiaceae.
UGCGACCAACAUGCACGAGCUAUCAAAUGAACUGUGUCAAAUUUUUUUCCAUUUCUACAGAAAUUCAAAGCAGAGAGGCUAUAAAGAACAUUUGCAAAUACCAUAAUCUUUUGUUAGGUCAAAGAAACAGAGAGUUAGACAAGCAAGGAUCGGAUGAAUACAUUUUUGCACAAGUAGUUGAUAAUUGAAGAAGAAAAAGAAGAAGAAGAUGAAGAAGAUAAAGAAAAUGGGAUUUGCAAACAACGUAGGGAAAUUUCAUCUUGGCAGAACAAUUGGAGUAGGAACUUUUGCAAAGGUUAAACUCGCUGUAGACAGCACCAAUGGCAGUUAUGUUGCAAUCAAGAUCAUUGAUAAGCAAAUGGUUGUGCAAAGCAAUCUCAAGUACCAGGUACAAAGGGAAAUAAGAACCAUGAAGGUCUUGAAUCACCCCAAUGUUGUUCGUAUACAUGAGGUCAUUGGCACAAAGACAAAAAUUUAUAUAGUAAUGGAAUAUGUGUCAGGAGGACAACUAUCCGACAAGUUGUCCUAUUCCCAAAAACUAAACGAAUC